Molecule: long non-coding RNA, 570 nt
Organism: Sapajus apella (tufted capuchin)
Lineage: Eukaryota; Metazoa; Chordata; Mammalia; Primates; Cebidae
Exons: 2
Source: RefSeq, a predicted model, not a curated record
CUCAGCCUCCCAGAGUGCUGGGAUUACAGCCACCACACCCAGCCUUUAAAUUGUUUAAUUUAAUUACAUUUGUUGACAUUUAUUUUUCUUCUGUUAUACACAGAAGCAAACAUACAAUACUUACUGUUCUGCUUCCUUUUGUUUUAAAUACCAUGUCUUAGAAAUUACUGUAUAUGAGAGUACAAAUAUAAUUCUCAUUCCUUUUAUUAGGUUCUGCUUGGUUCUGUUCUGCUCUUUUCUUUCCCUGUCCUUUCCCCCUUCCCCUUUCCUCUUUAAUUUGAUUUUUCAGUUUUCAGUUUAGCAUUGACUCAAGCAGGUGGAGGUGGCUUUGAUGAUAGAGCAGAGUGCGCACAAUUACGUGUGAGGACAUCAAGGCCCAGAGAGGAUCAGGGACUUUCUCAAAGCCACAGAACUAGCUAAUGACAGAGCCAUACUCGGAGUCCACUGUGAACCUUGGGUGUUUAAACUAGUUCAGAGGUUGUCAAACUUGAGCAUGCGUAAGAAUCACCUUGAGAACUGUUAAAAAUAAAGCUUCCUCCCAAGGGGUUUCAUAAUCUGCAAAAAAAAAAA